RNAcentral lists this long non-coding RNA (1030 nucleotides) under Numida meleagris (helmeted guineafowl). Its description in RNAcentral is "lncRNA (ENSNMEG00000006083.1)". Lineage: Eukaryota; Metazoa; Chordata; Aves; Galliformes; Numididae. The record is from RNAcentral.
AUUAUAUUUGGUGGCAACUUAGUUGUUGACUUUGAUCUGUAGCUAUUCAGGCUCCUUGUAGCUUAGCUAUUUGCAAAAACACUUUGCCUUUUUUAGACACCAGAGGAACAGUUAGGGUUCCUUAGCGCUGAGCCUGUGCAGUGAGUAACGUGCAGCUGAGAAGCAUAAGACUGACAGCAGUGUUCUCUUCCUUUGUAGUGUGCUGGAACCAAAAUUUGUCAGGGUCAAAGCAUAAUGAUCCUCCAGUUACAGUGCAAGGUCUGUCUAUUGACUCAGGUUUGUGUCUAGAGUAGGAUUCUAUUCUCUGUAUUCUUGUUUUUAAUCUCUCUGUAUGUUUUUAGAGUGUAUUCCACGAGUAAUAAUUUGGACCAAAGCAAAAGAGCUACAAUGCAGCAGAAGAACGCUCCACCUUCUUGGAGUCUUUUCCUUUGUCUUCCUGUUUCCUUAGUACAUUGUUGGCAUGCCGAGGCAAGACACUGCUUUUAUCUUAUGACUGAUGCAAAGCUUCACCAUUAUUUCCGGAUAAUACAGAUGGUAGUAGAAGACUACGUGCACCCCUGGUGCCAGAUGAGUCACUCAGAGAGCAUCUGUGGAGGAGGUAAGAGAGAAACUUUACCCACUUGGCAUCUUCCCAGGGUGGGAAGAGCUCCAGCCAACCUGUGUCUACGUGCAUUGUUGCCACAGGGGAUAACACCCCAAUGGUGCCACACAGGUAUACUUCUCCUGUGACUUUCUAGAGGCCACCAAUAGCAUCUGUGGAAGACAGCACCCAACAGUGGAUCAUUAACUAUCUACUGUCCAGAUUUACCAUCAUUUGUUACAAAUGAGGAGAAUUAAACAGAAAAAAAACAAUGAAACAUGUUUUCUACCCCAUGACAAAACAAACAAACAAACAAACAAAAAGGGGAAUUGUAGUAUAUCCUGGGGCGUAUGGAACUGGAUUAUGGCUCCUAUAUCUGAAGAAGAAAUGAUCAUAGUCACCUUACACUACUCUGUAAUAAAAUAUUUCCUCAAGAAAUAAAAAUAUUUC